UUAAAUUUCGGUCACCCACGAGGACAAAGAAGCCGCCCAUUGUUCCUCGAACUUUAUGUCUUCUUUGAUGAAAGGAAACCAAUUAAUAUGGCUUUUACUUUUAACUUAUCUUGAUUUUGCAACACCUGAUAAUAAGACAGAUGCCCCACGGACGACCUUGGAGAGUUGGAAUAAAUGUAAUACCACUUGUGGUAAGGGUCAUCAGACGAGGUCACGUGCAUGUGUUGACAUAGAAACCAAUGAAAAUUGCACUACUGUAUAUACUGAAUUCCGAAUUUGUUCAGGAUUGGACUGUACAGGAAAGUCAAAUUCUUCUCGUCGUCAUAGAAAGGUUCAGAAAGAUGACAACAUUGGAAUUGAUAACGCAGUAAACAGCGCAGUGUACAGUUUGGUUAUCUUCAUACCAGGAAUCAUUGGCUUCAUUUUUGUUUGUAUACGAACCCACAGGAAAACAAAAAUGGAAGAAAAACAGCUUAGGGAAGUGGAAAGACGAAAACUCUCCCUUAGAAAUGAUGACAUCACAUGAAACGUAUUAGUGAGCAAAAAUACCCAGUGAAGAUAUGCAUUAAUAUCCGUUUGUUGACAUUAAACUUCAUUACAUGCUUAGAAGCGAAUGUGUUGUUUUGUUUGGUUCAUUGACGAUGUAAUGAAGUAUGUAUGUUCAGCCAUUCUAAAACAUUCGAUGUUACCAUAUUUUUUACGUUGUUUGGCUGAUUAUACAGAAAAUUGUACUUUGGUACGCGGGAUGAAGAGUAUUUCUAUUUGGAGAUUAAAACAGAGACCGUUAUAUGUAUAUUUCGUAAGCUUAACCAGUGAACAAAUCCAGUCAACGAUAUAUUCUGUGACUCAUUGUACAUGUAUACUAGUAUUUAAUUAAUACACCUACAGAAACUUCUCAAUAUAAAUGAAGAAAAUUAUUAAUCAUCUAUUCAUUUUCGUUAGAAAUAAUGUAUUCUGGAGAGGAGACUUGGGCGACUGCUGCUGGCGUUUUGUGAGCUAUGAUUAUGAAGUUUGAGUAACGUAAUGGUCAUCAAGACCAAUAAAAAAGCGAGAUUGGUGCCCAUCUAGACACAAUAAUGACAGCAUGGACCUAAAUUGCUUCCUACAAAUAUCAUAAUAAUCGAUAGUAAUGCAAUUGUGUUCUUUGACAAUUGGUUAUCGCCAGGAAAGGGAAGUUUUCGGCACUGAUUUUGUCAAUGGUAUUUUCUUUGCUGACUUUUUUAAAUUUCAUAAUCGGCUUACAAUUCUUCGUCGUGUAAACAAGGCUCGUGCCCUGUUUUUGUUUACAUAGGUUCAAUAUACCAUUAAAAAUCUUUUAAAGCUGCUUUGUCUAUCUUAUUAUUCAUUUUAAGCAUAAAUAAACAGUUCCUUACGAUUAACACAUUCAUUUUAGGUCUAAAGCUGCUUUGUCUAUCUUAUUAUUCAUUUUAAGCAUAAAUAAACAGUUCCUUACGAUUAACACAUUCAUUUUAGGUCUAAAACUGGAAUUUUCACUCCAACAUUCAAAAUGUUAACAAACGCUUUGUUUACAUAGUGUAGAAUUGUAAGCUCUGUAACUCGCUUAUAACUCAUCAAAUGACACUCAAAUUUUGGUUGCCUAUUAAAAAUGCCUUACUGAAGCAUUGUAAACAUUAAAAUCGAAAAAAGGAUUUUUGGCCAAAAUCGUGACCAUGCCCCUUUAACCCUGGUAUUUGAUAACAGUUGAGAUUAAUGUAUGGUUAAAAAAGAUUAAAUUAAUAAUUUUUUGGGAGAGAAUAACAAGCUUAAGUUAUCUGAUAUCGAUUAUUUAGUACUUUACGAUGAAUACAUGUGAUUUUACAUUACGUAGGAUAUUUAAAAAUUAUCUUUUGUAAUAAAACUAAAUAUAUGUAAAUUAAAAAGUGUAAUAAAUGAUUUCAAAAAGUAUGGAAUAUUAUGGCUAUAGAACACGGGAUCGGUUUUCUUGAGAAAGCAAAUAAGUUUCGGUAGAAAAAUUGAAUUUCCUAUGAAAAAAAUACUACAUAAAUAUGACAACUUGCUCUGUAAGGUUGAUUGCCUGUUUCAAAGACAUUUAAUCUAAAAUGUGAUCAUUAAAUGACCUCAAGUUAUUGAUAAAUACCAACUGUAUUUUUUAAAAACUAUAUCAAGCUGGCAGUUUGCUUCCAAGUGAUAUUCAUUUUACAAACAAUUUUUUAUAGAGUACCGUUAUGUUGGCGAAAAGAGAGCUAGUUUUAAACAUUGCAAUGAAUAUCAUUGGACCCUACAUUACAAGUCCAAUAUCGACUUUUUUUAAUGCAAGGGUUACGUACAAGUUUAAAGUUCUCUCAUUUAUUCAACGAAAGAACCAUUUGAAUAAUCUUUUUACUUAGAAAAAUAUUUUAGAAAAAGGUCUUCUCUGUCACUUUCUUUCUACAGUACUGAUUGUCCUCGGGUUGUUGUGAUAUCAGGAUGGGAAUCUAUUCGUAUUUUCUGAUACUGGUUUUUCUUGUCGCUGUGUGUGAAUUUGCAACUUCUUAUCCCGCGGACUUCACGGAUUUAGACGAUGUCGACCUCCUUCUGGAAGACAAAAGGAACUUUGUAC
Molecule: RNA transcript, 2560 nt
Organism: Magallana angulata
Lineage: Eukaryota; Metazoa; Mollusca; Bivalvia; Ostreida; Ostreidae
Exons: 5
Source: RefSeq, a predicted model, not a curated record